GGGUGAGUAACGCGUAGGUAACCUGCCUUGUAGCGGGGGAUAACUAUUGGAAACGAUAGCUAAUACCGCAUAACAAUGGAUGACACAUGUCAUUUAUUUGAAAGGGGCAAUUGCUCCACUACAAGAUGGACCUGCGUUGUAUUAGCUAGUAGGUGAGGUAAUGGCUCACCUAGGCGACGAUACAUAGCCGACCUGAGAGGGUGAUCGGCCACACUGGGACUGAGACACGGCCCAGACUCCUACGGGAGGCAGCAGUAGGGAAUCUUCGGCAAUGGGGGCAACCCUGACCGAGCAACGCCGCGUGAGUGAAGAAGGUUUUCGGAUCGUAAAGCUCUGUUGUAAGUCAAGAACGGGUGUGAGAGUGGAAAGUUCACACUGUGACGGUAGCUUACCAGAAAGGGACGGCUAACUACGUGCCAGCAGCCGCGGUAAUACGUAGGUCCCGAGCGUUGUCCGGAUUUAUUGGGCGUAAAGCGAGCGCAGGCGGUUUGAUAAGUCUGAAGUUAAAGGCUGUGGCUCAACCAUAGUUCGCUUUGGAAACUGUCAAACUUGAGUGCAGAAGGGGAGAGUGGAAUUCCAUGUGUAGCGGUGAAAUGCGUAGAUAUAUGGAGGAACACCGGUGGCGAAAGCGGCUCUCUGGUCUGUAACUGACGCUGAGGCUCGAAAGCGUGGGGAGCGAACAGGAUUAGAUACCCUGGUAGUCCACGCCGUAAACGAUGAGUGCUAGGUGUUGGAUCCUUUCCGGGAUUCAGUGCCGCAGCUAACGCAUUAAGCACUCCGCCUGGGGAGUACGACCGCAAGGUUGAAACUCAAAGGAAUUGACGGGGGCCCGCACAAGCGGUGGAGCAUGUGGUUUAAUUCGAAGCAACGCGAAGAACCUUACCAGGUCUUGACAUCCCGAUGCUAUUUCUAGAGAUAGAAAGUUACUUCGGUACAUCGGUGACAGGUGGUGCAUGGUUGUCGUCAGCUCGUGUCGUGAGAUGUUGGGUUAAGUCCCGCAACGAGCGCAACCCCUAUUGUUAGUUGCCAUCAUUCAGUUGGGCACUCUAGCGAGACUGCCGGUAAUAAACCGGAGGAAGGUGGGGAUGACGUCAAAUCAUCAUGCCCCUUAUGACCUGGGCUACACACGUGCUACAAUGGUUGGUACAACGAGUUGCGAGUCGGUGACGGCGAGCUAAUCUCUUAAAGCCAAUCUCAGUUCGGAUUGUAGGCUGCAACUCGCCUACAUGAAGUCGGAAUCGCUAGUAAUCGCGGAUCAGCACGCCGCGGUGAAUACGUUCCCGGGCCUUGUACACACCGCCCGUCACACCACGAGAGUUUGUAACACCCGAAGUCGGUGAGGUAACCUUUUGGAGCCAGCCGCCUAAGGUGCAUC
Molecule: ribosomal RNA, 1375 nt
Filed under: Streptococcus thermophilus
Lineage: Bacteria; Bacillati; Bacillota; Bacilli; Lactobacillales; Streptococcaceae
Description: bacterial SSU rRNA
Rfam family: Bacterial small subunit ribosomal RNA
Source: RNAcentral